UUAUGGUGGGCACUCUAAGGAGACUGCCGGUGGACAAACCGGAGGAAGGUGGGGAUGACGUCAAGUCAUCAUGGCCCUUACGGCCUGGGCUACACACGUGCUACAAUGGUCGGUACAAAGGGUUGCCAAGCCGCGAGGUGGAGCUAAUACCCAUAAAACCGAUCGUAGUCCGGAUCGCAGUCUGCAACUCGACUGCGUGAAGUCGGAAUCGCUAGUAAUCGUGAAUCAGAAUGUCACGGUGAAUACGUUCCCGGGCCUU
RNAcentral lists this ribosomal RNA (259 nucleotides) under uncultured Pseudomonas sp. RNAcentral describes it as "partial 16S ribosomal RNA". It matches the Rfam family "Bacterial small subunit ribosomal RNA", at positions 1126 to 1382 of the family's 1533-position model. The record is from RNAcentral. Lineage: Bacteria; Pseudomonadati; Pseudomonadota; Gammaproteobacteria; Pseudomonadales; Pseudomonadaceae.